UUUCUUACAAAAAAAUGUAAAGCAUUUGCCCAUAGUGAUGCCUUAUCUUGUGCAAUGUGUUAUGGAAGGUAAUGAAAGGUCCUUUGAUUCUUCAUAAUAUUUAUAUUUUCAUCUUUUAUUCAUUUGUUCCUUCUCUUCAAUUCAUAAAUUUAUGUAAUUGUGGAAUUGGUUGUACUUUUUAUUACCAAGUCAUUUUUUUUUCCUUGUGUUAAUUUGACAACAUAAAAUGAGCAGAGUGAAAUUAUGCAUUGGUUGACUGAUAUGAUUUUCUAACUGGCACAUUGGGAUUUUAUACAUGAUUCUGUUUUCAAUUGAAUGUUAUAAUUAUGCCACUCAUCUUCUACAUGUUGCAAGAGAAUUAUGCAGAAAUUGACAAGCUGUAAGUGCAUUAGUUGAUAAAAUGAUGAACCUCCUAAUAUUUAAAUUUUUUGGCUAAUUGAUGAUUUAUAUUGUUGUUCUCAAAAAUGUAAUGCAGUGCCUGCCCCUAGUCCUAUGGAUAUUUUUGGUGUAAACAAUAUGACCAUUGAUC
This 529-nucleotide unclassified non-coding RNA is filed under the name Hevea brasiliensis (rubber tree). Lineage: Eukaryota; Viridiplantae; Streptophyta; Magnoliopsida; Malpighiales; Euphorbiaceae. The record is from RNAcentral.